This 76-nucleotide transfer RNA is filed under the name Eubacterium sp. CAG:115. RNAcentral's name for it is "transfer RNA-Trp(CCA)". It matches the Rfam family "tRNA". From Rfam's summary of the family: Transfer RNA (tRNA) molecules are approximately 80 nucleotides in length. Their secondary structure includes four short double-helical elements and three loops (D, anti-codon, and T loops). Further hydrogen bonds mediate the characteristic L-shaped molecular structure. tRNAs have two regions of fundamental functional importance: the anti-codon, which is responsible for specific mRNA codon recognition, and the 3' end, to which the tRNAs corresponding amino acid is attached (by aminoacyl-tRNA synthetases). tRNAs cope with the degeneracy of the genetic code in two manners: having more than one tRNA (with a specific anti-codon) for a particular amino acid; and 'wobble' base-pairing, i.e. permitting non-standard base-pairing at the 3rd anti-codon position. RNAcentral also lists the same sequence under 2 other names. The record is from RNAcentral. Lineage: Bacteria; Bacillati; Bacillota; Clostridia; Eubacteriales; Eubacteriaceae.
AGGGGUAUAGUUCAGUUGGUAGAACGACGGUCUCCAAAACCGUAUGUCGAGGGUUCAAGUCCUUCUGCCCCUGCCA